GACGAACGCGGCGGCGUGCCUAAUACAUGCAAGUCGAGCGAAGUUUUUCUGGUGCUUGCACCGGAAAAACUUAGCGGCGAACGGGUGAGUAACACGUAAAGAACCUGCCUCAUAGACUGGGACAACUAUUGGAAACGAUAGCUAAUACCGGAUAACAGCAUUAACUGCAUGGUUGAUGUUUAAAAGUUGGUUUUGCUAACACUAUGAGAUGGCUUUGCGGUGCAUUAGCUAGUUGGUGGGGUAAAGGCCUACCAAGGCGACGAUGCAUAGCCGACCUGAGAGGGUGAUCGGCCACACUGGGACUGAGACACGGCCCAGACUCCUACGGGAGGCAGCAGUAGGGAAUCUUCCGCAAUGGGCGAAAGCCUGACGGAGCAACGCCGCGUGAGUGAAGAAGGAUUCCGGUUCGUAAAGCUCUGUUGUUAGGGAAGAAUGAUUGUGUAGUAACUAUACAUAGUAGAGACG
RNAcentral lists this ribosomal RNA (465 nucleotides) under Gemella haemolysans. RNAcentral describes it as "bacterial SSU rRNA". It matches the Rfam family "Bacterial small subunit ribosomal RNA", at positions 28 to 490 of the family's 1533-position model. Lineage: Bacteria; Bacillati; Bacillota; Bacilli; Caryophanales; Gemellaceae. The record is from RNAcentral.